This 377-nucleotide ribosomal RNA is filed under the name uncultured bacterium. RNAcentral describes it as "bacterial SSU rRNA". It matches the Rfam family "Bacterial small subunit ribosomal RNA", at positions 523 to 898 of the family's 1533-position model. The record is from RNAcentral.
AAACGUAGGGGGCGAGCGUUGCCCGGAAUUACUGGGCGUAAAGCGCGUGUAGGCGGGUUUAUAAGUCGGGUGUGAAAACUCUGGGCUCAACCCAGAGACUGCAUCCGAAACUGUAGACCUUGAGGGCGGGAGAGGAAAGUGGAAUUCCUAGUGUAGCGGUGAAAUGCGUAGAUAUUAGGAGGAACACCAGUGGCGAAGGCGGCUUUCUGGCCCGAACCUGACGCUGAGACGCGAAAGCGUGGGGAGCAAACAGGAUUAGAUACCCUGGUAGUCCACGCUGUAAACGAUGGGCACUAGGUGUAGGAGGUAUCGACCCCUUCUGUGCCGCAGCUAACGCAUUAAGUGCCCCGCCUGGGGAGUACGGCCGCAAGGUUGAA